GUCUACGGCCAUGCCACCCUGAACAUGCCCGAUCUCGUCUGAUCUCGGAAGCUAAGCAAGGUGGGGCCUGGUUAGUACUUGGAUGGGAGACCACCUAGGAAGACCAGGUGCUGUAGGCA
This 119-nucleotide ribosomal RNA is filed under the name Pteropus alecto (black flying fox). The record is from RNAcentral. Lineage: Eukaryota; Metazoa; Chordata; Mammalia; Chiroptera; Pteropodidae.